CGAAUGCUGACAUAAGUAACGAUAAUGCGGGUGAAAAACCCGCACGCCGGAAGACCAAGGGUUCCUGUCCAACGUUAAUCGGGGCAGGGUGAGUCGACCCCUAAGGCGAGGCCGAAAGGCGUAGUCGAUGGGAAACAGGUUAAUAUUCCUGUACUUGGUGUUACUGCGAAGGGGGGACGGAGAAGGCUAUGUUAGCCGGGCGACGGUUGUCCCGGUUUAAGCAUGUAGGCGGAGGUUCCAGGUAAAUCCGGUACCUUUUAACGCUGAGGUGUGAUGACGAGGCACUACGGUGCUGAAGUAACAAAUGCCCUGCUUCCAGGAAAAGCCUCUAAGCAUCAGGUAACACGAAAUCGUACCCCAAACCGACACAGGUGGUCAGGUAGAGAAUACCAAGGCGCUUGAGAGAACUCGGGUGAAGGAACUAGGCAAAAUGGUGCCGUAACUUCGGGAGAAGGCACGCUGAUAUGUAGGUGAAGCGGUUUACCCGUGGAGCUGAAAUCAGUCGAAGAUACCAGCUGGCUGCAACUGUUUAUUAAAAACACAGCACUGUGCAAACACGAAAGUGGACGUAUACGGUGUGACGCCUGCCCGGUGCCGGAAGGUUAAUUGAUGGGGUUAUCCGUAAGGAGAAGCUCUUGAUCGAAGCCCCGGUAAACGGCGGCCGUAACUAUAACGGUCCUAAGGUAGCGAAAUUCCUUGUCGGGUAAGUUCCGACCUGCACGAAUGGCGUAAUGAUGGCCAGGCUGUCUCCACCCGAGACUCAGUGAAAUUGAACUCGCUGUGAAGAUGCAGUGUACCCGCGGCAAGACGGAAAGACCCCGUGAACCUUUACUAUAGCUUGACACUGAACACUGGUCCUUGAUGUGUAGGAUAGGUGGGAGGCUUUGAAGUGUGGACGCCAGUCUGCAUGGAGCCAUCCUUGAAAUACCACCCUUUAAUGGCUGGUGUUCUAACGUGGACCCGUUACCCGGGUUGCGGACAGUGUCUGGUGGGUAGUUUGACUGGGGCGGUCUCCUCCUAAAGAGUAACGGAGGAGCACGAAGGUUAGCUAAUCCUGGUCGGACAUCAGGAGGUUAGUGCAAAGGCAUAAGCUAGCUUGACUGCGAGAGUGACGGCUCGAGCAGGUGCGAAAGCAGGUCUUAGUGAUCCGGUGGUUCUGAAUGGAAGGGCCAUCGCUCAACGGAUAAAAGGUACUCCGGGGAUAACAGGCUGAUACCGCCCAAGAGUUCAUAUCGACGGCGGUGUUUGGCACCUCGAUGUCGGCUCAUCACAUCCUGGGGCUGAAGUAGGUCCCAAGGGUAUGGCUGUUCGCCAUUUAAAGUGGUACGCGAGCUGGGUUUAGAACGUCGUGAGACAGUUCGGUCCCUAUCUGCCGUGGGCGCUGGAGAAUUGAGGGGGGCUGCUCCUAGUACGAGAGGACCGGAGUGGACGCAUCACUGGUGUUCGGGUUGUCAUGCCAAUGGCAUUGCCCGGUAGCUAAAUGCGGAAGAGAUAAGUGCUGAAAGCAUCUAAGCACGAAACUUGCCCCG
Molecule: ribosomal RNA, 1529 nt
Filed under: Citrobacter freundii
Lineage: Bacteria; Pseudomonadati; Pseudomonadota; Gammaproteobacteria; Enterobacterales; Enterobacteriaceae
Description: partial 23S ribosomal RNA
Rfam family: Bacterial large subunit ribosomal RNA
Source: RNAcentral